Molecule: ribosomal RNA, 458 nt
Filed under: uncultured bacterium
Lineage: Bacteria
Description: partial 16S ribosomal RNA
Rfam family: Bacterial small subunit ribosomal RNA
Source: RNAcentral
CCUACGGGAGGCAGCAGUGAGGAAUAUUGGUCAAUGGGCGAGAGCCUGAACCAGCCAAGUCGCGUGAGGGAGUACUGCCCUAUGGGUUGUAAACCUCUUUUGUCGGGGAGCAAAAGCCGGACGUGUCCGGCUGUGAGAGUACCCGCAGAAAAAGCAUCGGCUAACUCCGUGCCAGCAGCCGCGGUAAUACGGAGGAUGCGAGCGUUAUCCGGAUGGAUUGGGUGUAAAGGGUGCGUAGGCGGAUUUGUAAGUCCGCGGUCAAGUCGUGGGGCUCAACCCCAUCCAGCCGGUGAAACUGGGGGGCUGGAGUGUGCGAGAGGUAUGCGGAAUGCGUGGUGUAGCGGUGAAAUGCAUAGAUAUCACGCAGAACCCCGGUUGCGAAGGCAGCAUACCGGUGCACAACUGACGCUCAGGCACGAAAGCGUGGGUAUCGAACAGGAUUAGAUACCCUAGUAGUC